Ornithorhynchus anatinus (platypus) is the source of this 138-nucleotide small nucleolar RNA. Lineage: Eukaryota; Metazoa; Chordata; Mammalia; Monotremata; Ornithorhynchidae. The record is from RefSeq and is a predicted model, not a curated record.
CCCCUCUUAGGAUUGCACCUGGAGAAUUUCCAGUACUCUACCAGAAUCAGCUAUGGGAGGGAGAGUCAAGCAAGGGCAUAUCCAUUCCAUUCUUAGUUUGGCCAGUGUCUAGAGAAUGGAAGGCAAUCUGCUACAAAU